UACCCUUGACAUGUCCGAGAGCCUGGAGAGAUCCAGGUGUGCCCGAAAGGGAAUCGGAACACAGGUGCUGCAUGGCUGUCGUCAGCUCGUGUCGUGAGAUGUUGGGUUAAGUCCCGCAACGAGCGCAACCCUUGUCAUUAGUUGCUACAUUCAGUUGGGCACUCUAAUGAGACUGCCGGUGACAAACCGGAGGAAGGUGGGGAUGACGUAGCUAAGCCUUC
This 221-nucleotide unclassified non-coding RNA is filed under the name uncultured Gammaproteobacteria bacterium. RNAcentral describes it as "contains 16S-23S intergenic spacer region". It matches the Rfam family "Bacterial small subunit ribosomal RNA", at positions 980 to 1194 of the family's 1533-position model. The record is from RNAcentral. Lineage: Bacteria; Pseudomonadati; Pseudomonadota; Gammaproteobacteria.